Dipodomys ordii (Ord's kangaroo rat) is the source of this 73-nucleotide non-coding RNA. The record is from Rfam. NCBI's taxonomy places the organism in Eukaryota, Metazoa, Chordata, Mammalia, Rodentia, Heteromyidae.
GGGAAUGUGGCUUAGUAGUAGAGUGCUUGCCUAGCAUGCAUGAAGCCCUGAGUUCAAUUCCUCAGUACCACCU